RNAcentral lists this ribosomal RNA (433 nucleotides) under uncultured bacterium. Its description in RNAcentral is "partial 16S ribosomal RNA". It matches the Rfam family "Bacterial small subunit ribosomal RNA", at positions 29 to 507 of the family's 1533-position model. The record is from RNAcentral.
AGCGAACGCUGGCGGCAGGCCUAACACAUGCAAGUCGAACGAACUCUUCGGAGUUAGUGGCGGACGGGUGAGUAACACGUGGGAACGUGCCUUUUGGUUCGGAAUAACUCAGGGAAACUUGUGCUAAUACCGAAUGUGCCCUUCGGGGGAAAGAUUUAUCGCCAUUAGAGCGGCCCGCGGCUGAUUAGCUAGUUGGUGAGGUAACGGCUCACCAAGGCGACGAUCAGUAGCUGGUCUGAGAGGAUGACCAGCCACACGGGGGCUGAGACACGGCCCAGACUCCGACGGGAGGCAGCAGUGGGGAAUCGUGCGCAAUGGGCGAAAGCCUGACGCAGCCGUGCCGCGUGAAUGAUGAAGGUCUUAGGAUUGUAAAAUUCUUUCACCGGGGACGAUAAUGACGGUACCCGGAGAAGAAGCCCCGGCUAACUUCGUG